This 301-nucleotide ribosomal RNA is filed under the name uncultured bacterium. RNAcentral describes it as "partial 16S ribosomal RNA". It matches the Rfam family "Bacterial small subunit ribosomal RNA", at positions 509 to 807 of the family's 1533-position model. The record is from RNAcentral.
CAGUCGCCGCGGUAAUACGUAGGGUGCGAGCGUUAAUCGGAAUUACUGGGCGUAAAGCGUGCGCAGGCGGUUGUGUAAGACAGGUGUGAAAUCCCCGGGCUUAACCUGGGAACUGCGCUUGUGACUGCACAGCUAGAGUAUGGCAGAGGGGGGUGGAAUUCCACGUGUGGCAGUGAAAUGCGUAGAGAUGUGGAGGAACACCGAUGGCGAAGGCAGCCCCCUGGGCCAAUACUGACGCUCAUGCACGAAAGCGUGGGGAGCAAACAGGAUUAGAUACCCCCGUAGUCCCUGUCUCUUAUAC